RNAcentral lists this long non-coding RNA (828 nucleotides) under Homo sapiens (human). Its description in RNAcentral is "long intergenic non-protein coding RNA 911". Lineage: Eukaryota; Metazoa; Chordata; Mammalia; Primates; Hominidae. The record is from RNAcentral.
AGAACCUCCAGGAAUGUCCGUUGUGCAUGACAUGAGGGCAGUUUCACUGACAGUUUAUGCAGGCAGGGGGAGUGUUUUAUUAAAUAUGCAAAUAUUAACCUACUCAAUCCUCAUAAAAACUCAGUGGUGAACUGACUGUUGGCCUGGCAGAUGAGAAGUUUUACUCCCCCACUCUCCAGUGAAACUGGUGAAAAGUAUUUUUAAAGGAAUUAAGAAUGGGUCAAUGAAAUAUACAGCUCCUUUCUGGAAUGUACCUGUUCUGCUACAACCAUGGAUAUCCUGACCUUUCUGUGCCUUUCAGGGACAAGGGUAAUAGAGGAGUUUCAGACUCCCUCUAAAACAAAACAACAACUGAACAAUAAACAACAGAAAAAGAACACAAAAAAAGACGGUGGUACUCUUUCCCCUUUCCUUGCUUUCUCCUGCUACCAAAACAAACAACAAAAACUACAUUGUCUCAUUGGAUGACGAAGCUAAAAUUUUGUAGCAAAUCUAUAGAAGAAAAGAAGUGGAAAUCUACUCAAGAGCUACUGUAAAACACUGUAUACAAAACAACCACUUUGAUUCACAUUAAAAAGUGUUAUCUGUUUCUUUGAAUUCAUAAGCUAGAUAUUAAUCCAUCUUUAGAAGAGAAGAAAGCAAAGAUCGUAGAUGACAAGUCUUGCUUUCUUGUAAGUAUCUUUGAAUCUGUAUGUUUGCCAUCACAAGUUCUCAGAUCAAUUAACUAUUGUUUACUUCCAAAAAAAAUCUGGCAUGGCUUAUGAAGAUGUAUAUAUAUAACAACAUCAGUAUGAAUGGGAUAAUACAACAAGACCAAGGGAAACUAAA